UGAGGAAUAUUGGUCAAUGGACGAGAGUCUGAACCAGCCAAGUAGCGUGAAGGAUGACUGCCCUAUGGGUUGUAAACUUCUUUUAUACGGGAAUAAAGUUAGCCACGUGUGGUUUUUUGCAUGUACCGUAUGAAUAAGGAUCGGCUAACUCCGUGCCAGCAGCCGCGGUAAUACGGAGGAUCCGAGCGUUAUCCGGAUUUAUUGGGUUUAAAGGGAGCGUAGGCGGGGUAUUAAGUCAGUUGUGAAAGUUUGCGGCUCAACCGUAAAAUUGCAGUUGAUACUGGUAUCCUUGAGUGCAGCAGAGGUGGGCGGAAUUCGUGGUGUAGCGGUGAAAUGCUUAGAUAUCACGAAGAACUCCGAUUGCGAAGGCAGCUCACUGGAGUGUAACUGACGCUGAUGCUCGAAAGUGUGGGUAUCAAACAGG
This 424-nucleotide ribosomal RNA is filed under the name uncultured bacterium. RNAcentral's name for it is "bacterial SSU rRNA". It matches the Rfam family "Bacterial small subunit ribosomal RNA", at positions 355 to 776 of the family's 1533-position model. The record is from RNAcentral. RNAcentral also lists the same sequence under 1 other name.